Molecule: long non-coding RNA, 218 nt
Filed under: Vigna radiata
Lineage: Eukaryota; Viridiplantae; Streptophyta; Magnoliopsida; Fabales; Fabaceae
Description: long non-coding RNA (VRAD_LNC000084)
Source: RNAcentral
CUGGAAUAAGAAGAAGAAUUCACUUUCUUAAUUUUAUUGCUUUACUGUUGGUGUUUCUUUUUAGUGUUGAUUCCGUAACGAAUAGCAUUUAACUUUUUUUAGUCACAUGUCUCUUUAUCAUCUGCUGCAAUUUAAUUAGUUUACACAUCUUGCUUUGGGACUGUUCAAUUUACUGUUUUCGUUCAUUAUGUUGUCUGUUCUGUUAGAUUGGGAUAAUU